GGUGGCUCAGUGGUAGAGUGCUUGCCUUGCAUGCAUGAGGCCCUGGGUUUGAUGCCCCAACACCA
RNAcentral lists this transfer RNA (65 nucleotides) under Dipodomys ordii (Ord's kangaroo rat). It matches the Rfam family "tRNA". From Rfam's summary of the family: Transfer RNA (tRNA) molecules are approximately 80 nucleotides in length. Their secondary structure includes four short double-helical elements and three loops (D, anti-codon, and T loops). Further hydrogen bonds mediate the characteristic L-shaped molecular structure. tRNAs have two regions of fundamental functional importance: the anti-codon, which is responsible for specific mRNA codon recognition, and the 3' end, to which the tRNAs corresponding amino acid is attached (by aminoacyl-tRNA synthetases). tRNAs cope with the degeneracy of the genetic code in two manners: having more than one tRNA (with a specific anti-codon) for a particular amino acid; and 'wobble' base-pairing, i.e. permitting non-standard base-pairing at the 3rd anti-codon position. The record is from Rfam by way of RNAcentral. Lineage: Eukaryota; Metazoa; Chordata; Mammalia; Rodentia; Heteromyidae.